AGUUAAAGGAGAGGAGGAGAUACCUCGAUCCGAUCGCGCACGCCUCUCCGAUCUCCGCGUCGAUCUUUUUCCCGGUUGGUAUUACCAACCGGGACUAUAAAUAGAUCUUUAGUCCCGGUUGGUGAGUAGAGCGUAUGGCGAUCUUUUUUUCCGAUUGGUGUUAUCAACCGGGACUACAAAUAUAUCUUUAGUCCCGGUUGGUAACACCAACCGGUACUAAAGUUUGAAAAGUACCCUGUAGCUUUUAAACCAGGUGUUUUUAGUCCCUGUUUUUAAUACAACCGGGACUAUUUGUGAAAUCUGGUCGACCCACCAAAUAUGGUUUCUUCACUAGUGUUUAAUGGGAUGACUCUCUGUAAUAGCUGCACCAUUUCUAUAAUAGAAAUGGAGGGCUUUGCCCCUUUGCUUAAAAGAAAAACAACAUCAUACAAAUAAACACGGAAGGAGUACUAGCUUUUACAAACUUCUUGAAAAACGUAAGAUUCUCAAUUCUCAAAACACGAGAAUAAAUAAAACACCUGAUUUAAAAUAUUAUGGUCCUUGGAUUCUAAAAGAAUGAAAACCAUAGGAGAACUACGUACAUAGAAAACAGUUUGAGUGAAGCACAAGAAAAUCACGGAAUUUGGAAGAGAGGUAGACAAAAAAUCCCAAGAGGUUACAGCACAUGCUAAGAAUUCUCCAAAAUUUUCAUGAUACAUGCCAAUCUAUAUAUAGGAAUUUUUAAAGGAAUUUUAGGAACUCAAUUCUUUAUCUUGUAGGAAUUUUUUUCUAUAGGAUUUUAAAUCCUUUGAAAUUUCUGUAUUUUUUCCCCCGAAGGAAUCCUAAAGUUCAUCUGGUUGGUUACAGUAGUCCUCACUCACAAGAUGAUUUGAUGCGGAGACCGUGUCGCAAAUUGACCACUGCACGGCCGCGCCGCCCUGAUCCGGUCAGAGAGCUCUUCGCGCUGAGGAGUGAGGACGACUUUGACAGCGUCCAUCGCCGCGACGCCGCCUCUUUCGUGUUAGUUUUGUUCUUUUUCCCCCCAUUGAUGUACGGAGUAGGCCCUUCAAAAGUUGCAGAUUCUCCUUUUCGUUUGGGUUCGUAUGCUCACAUGGUGAUUGGACACCACCACCGUUUUUUGUCAAGUGAGAAAGUGAGAUGAGCAGAGCAAAAUGAGUUUUUGGCGAAACCUUCUUCCGUUUGAACGUCCCCCUGAUGCUUGAUUGUCCCUUGCCAAGAACUGCUCCUAGUGCGAUGACAUGUGACAUGUCUGCCUGUAAAACUCCAGUGAAACUCCGUGUGUUUCACCCAGAUGAGUUUGUUCUAGGUUCCAAACUUAACAAACGAACUUUAGCUGCCUGUCUGUAAGCUAAAGUGAACUAGUACGAUGCUACUACUUGGAUCUCUGAAAAAAUACACAUGCUUUGUCAUACUAUAUGUCUUCUGAGCUGUCUGCGUCCUAGGUGGUGCCAUGGUGCAGUGGGGUGUGCUUGUGGUGGGGAAAGAUGGCUGCCGCUCUCGUCCUGACCAUUUGCUUUACUAAAUACCUUAAUCUAGGAGGAGAGACCACUUCUUCAGGUCAACCACUGGCUGCUGCUCAAUCGAGCUUUCCCCUAGCUCUCGCCUCUCCAUGUUCCGGGGUCGCCAAUCUGCGAGCUCGGUUGCAGAUUUGGAGCCGGUUUCCAUGGCCGGAGCUAUAGCUGAGCUGACCGUGCGUGCCCUGCAGCCGUUACGUGUGCAGACAUUUCAGAGCAUUAGCGUUUUCAUCUUAUAUCUCGUCUGAUGUCUGGAAAGCACUCAUUCCUAUGGAAAUUAAGCAUUUUUUGUGGUUAGAGGUUGGAGAGAAAGAAUUCAGUCUACGUUGUUGAGAAUUGGAUUGGGUAAGAUCUUUGUGCUGUAUGUGCUUCGCAUGAUGAUGCAGUACAUAUUCUCUUUAGAUUUCCCACUGCCAAAUUCAGUUGGUGCAUUCGCAGAGAUGAUUUGAGGUGGAUCAAACUACAUGAAGCUGUCAAUGAAUUCCGCUCUUCACACAAUGGCUUAGGAUGAUUCUUGAAUGGCAUUAUGCUGACCCUAAUCCUACUCAUCGUCUAAGAAAUUUGGAAAGAGAGAAAUCAGUCAUCAAUCCAGGCGUCUGUGAAGAGUUGGUUGAUCAGAUCCACUGAAAUGGGUGCUGCCAUUUAAGUCCAGAUCAUCAAUCCAAAAUCAAGUGUCGUUUUCGAUUCCUUCAUUUUUUUUUCCUUUUCAUUUUUUUAUCGGAUGUCUCCGAAGAGACCCUUUUUUAUUUUUUUGAGACUGCAUAGAAAAUGUCAUUGGUCAGAAGCUACUCGAUCCAUUGUUCUUCACCAUAUCCUAGUACCAAUCAAAUUUGUUCUAGUGUUACAAAAUGCUCUAGACAUGGUUACUGCGGUCCCCAUAAUAAGCCAAAACGGCUUAUUAGGAAAUAAAAAUGAAUUUGUACGUGAAACUUUUAUAAAUGUGUUCUUGGUGACUUAAAAGCCAAUGUUGUAAAAGAAACUACGUUAAAAAUAUCUCAAAAUUAAGUUUGAAAAUUCAAAAUUUGGCUUUUUCUUUGGCUGAUUAGGCCAUCCGAUGGAAGCCUACAAUGGGUUUGCAAGUUGAUGCCAAUUGAAAUAUGAUAUGCUUUAUGAAAGCCAUUUUCAUCGGAUUGUUUGCAUUCUCUUGUGAACUUCCAGCGUAAUAUGCGAUGGUCCGAGUCUGACUGUCUUAUUGCAAGAGCAGGAAGGGUGAAUGCAAUGUGUGAUUCAUACUGCCGAACAGUGUCCUUGCUGAAGAAACAGAGGAAUCAAACAUCAUAUACUCCUUCAGUUGUUGCCACAAUGCAGCGAUAUUCUACUGCUCAAUAGUAAAAUUUUACCUUCUAGCAAUUUCUUGGAAUGUGCUGGUCAUGAUGUGAAGUCUGUGUGUCAUGGCAUGAUCAGCAGUUAAUUGGCACGAAAAAUGGUAUAUUUGGCCUGCAUUUCCCUCAUAAUUUCGUUUGCAACAUCCUGCAGCAAAAAAAGAAAGAAAAAAAGAAAGAUGAAUUCUGAAUGGAACACGAAGAAUGUCAGUGUGCUCAGUUCCAAUAACCUUCUCCAGCCACUGGCUGCAUGUAGUCCCAAUAACAUCAGGCAACAACCUGGUUACCUGCAUCAAGUAAAAUCAUGUCUGCACAUUACUCUAUAAUUCAUAUGUACACUCUGAAUUCUGUCAUUCAGCAUCAUGGUCUGUAACAGAAAACAAUAUAUUAUGAUUGAGGAAA
This is a non-coding RNA of Oryza sativa Japonica Group (Japanese rice), 3238 nucleotides long. NCBI's taxonomy places the organism in Eukaryota, Viridiplantae, Streptophyta, Magnoliopsida, Poales, Poaceae. The record is from RefSeq and is a predicted model, not a curated record.